GCCUAAAGCGUCCGUAGCCGGCUUUGUAAGUUUUCGGUUAAAUCUAUAUGCUCAACAUAUAGGCUGCCGGGAAUACUGCAAAGCUAGGGAGUGGGAGAGGUAGACGGUACUCGGGAGGAAGGGGUAAAAUCCUUUGAUCUCUCGAUGACCACCUGUGGCGAAGGCGGUCUACCAGAACACGUCCGACGGUGAGGGAUGAAAGCUGGGGGAGCAAACCGGAUUAGAUACCCGGGUAGUCCCAGCUGUAAACUAUGCAAACUCAGUGAUGCAUUGGCUUGAUGCCAAUGCAGUGUUGCAGGGAAGCCGUUAAGUUUGCCGCCUGGGAAGUACGUACGCAAGUAUGAAACUUAAAGGAAUUGGCGGGGGAGCACCACAAGGGGUGAAGCCUGCGGUUCAAUUGGAGUCAACGCCAGAAAUCUUACCCGGAGAGACAGCAGAAUGAAGGUCAAGCUGAAGACUUUACCAGACAAGCUGAGAGGUGGUGCAUGGCCGUCGCCAGCUCGUGCCGUGAGAUGUCCUGUUAAGUCAGGUAACGAGCGAGAUCCUUGCCUCUAGUUGCCACCAUUACUCUCAGGAGUAGUGGGGCGAAUUAGCGGGACCGCCGUAGUUAAUACGGAGGAAGGAAGGGGCCACGGCAGGUCAGUAUGCCCCGAA
RNAcentral lists this ribosomal RNA (654 nucleotides) under uncultured archaeon. Its description in RNAcentral is "bacterial SSU rRNA". It matches the Rfam family "Archaeal small subunit ribosomal RNA", at positions 508 to 1160 of the family's 1478-position model. The record is from RNAcentral.